Molecule: unclassified non-coding RNA, 267 nt
Filed under: Hevea brasiliensis (rubber tree)
Lineage: Eukaryota; Viridiplantae; Streptophyta; Magnoliopsida; Malpighiales; Euphorbiaceae
Source: RNAcentral
AUUGCUUGGAAGAUCAAAUGGCCUAGGUUUCGUUCUUUUAGCCGAGGCUGAUCAUAAGAAAGACUACAUUGGGAUUACAAAGGCGCGGCAUCUAAGGGUGUAAUUAGUUUUUGAAAUUUCAAGUCUGUAUUAGAAUUGAAUGUGUCUUUGUUAGGUAAGUUUUAUAUCAGUUGUUGCAACAGAAAUUCAACAACUUCAUACCCUCACAAGUGGGGUCGGGUGAGGGUGGUGUAUAUACGACUUUACACCUAUCCUGUGAAGGUAGAU